RNAcentral lists this ribosomal RNA (121 nucleotides) under uncultured bacterium. RNAcentral describes it as "partial 16S ribosomal RNA". The record is from RNAcentral.
AUUUGGGCUUAGACUCGAAGUAAAGGUUCUCUCUUUUUUUAAUUAACUUUUUUUAAAGUUUUUAUAAAUUAGACAGUUCAAUUAGAUUACUCGAGAGAAACCUGGGUCAGCGACUGGGGUG